Molecule: ribosomal RNA, 497 nt
Filed under: uncultured bacterium
Lineage: Bacteria
Description: partial 16S ribosomal RNA
Rfam family: Bacterial small subunit ribosomal RNA
Source: RNAcentral
ACGAACGCUGGCGGCGUGCCUAAUACAUGCCAGUCGAGCGGACGAAUCGAAAGCUUGCUUUUGAUUCGUUAGCGGCGGACGGGUGAGUAACACGUGGGCAACCUGCCCUGUAGACGGGGAUAACACCGAGAAAUCGGUGCUAAUACCGGAUAACACGAAAUGUCGCAUGACGUUUCGUUGAAAGACGGCGCAAGCUGUCGCUACAGGAUGGGCCCGCGGCGCAUUAGCUAGUUGGUGAGGUAACGGCUCACCAAGGCGACGAUGCGUAGCCGACCUGAGAGGGUGAUCGGCCACACUGGGACUGAGACACGGCCCAGACUCCUACGGGAGGCAGCAGUAGGGAAUCUUCCGCAAUGGACGAAAGUCUGACGGAGCAACGCCGCGUGAGCGAAGAAGGCCUUCGGGUCGUAAAGCUCUGUUGUUAGGGAAGAACAAGUAACGCAGUAACUGGCGUUACCGUGACGGUACCUAACGAGAAAGCCACGGCUAACUACGUG